This 8748-nucleotide long non-coding RNA is filed under the name Sus scrofa (pig). RNAcentral describes it as "lncRNA (ENSSSCG00030025117.1)". The record is from RNAcentral. Lineage: Eukaryota; Metazoa; Chordata; Mammalia; Artiodactyla; Suidae.
AGCCCAUGAAGCCAUUAAUGGAAGCCACGUUACCCGGGCAUCGGACCAUGAACCCCUGUCCUGUGUGGGAGCGGAAGAAUGGCCUUGUGUACCUAUUCUUCAUCUGUGUGCGGGGCCACGUCACUGAGUGUCAACAGAUCGUAUCGGGCAGGAAUGCUGCCCGCCUCUGCUUCAUCUGCAGUCAGGAUUCUGGCUGUUCGUGGAGUGAGACCAAGAGAUCCUGAGCCAUGUGCGGGGGGACUGCACCAGCCCUGACAGGAACUCUGAGCCAGCUCAAAGCUAAUUGGCUUAGGACCCAACUGUUGUUAGAAGGAUUGCCCUGGGAGGCAACCACUGCCAGGACAGUGGAAGCCAGGAUAGCAGAGGUUACCAAAGUCCACAGGGAAUCCAAAAAUGUAAUACUCUGCUCCCGACCAUUCUUCACUUCUCCUCCAAAGAGCAAAAUGAAAAUCAUGCCAUAGCUCCUGCAGUGGGAAGAGCACUGGACGGUGGGUUGAGAGACCAUGAUGUAGUUCUGGCUCUGUCACUGGCUUGCUCUGGGACUUUGGACAUGUCACCUGAACUCUCUGGGCCUCAGGUCUCCAUCUGUAGAAUGAGAGGCUUGGUUCUGGGAUUUUUUUACUUCUUCCCAUUCCUAGGAGAGGCCCAGUGCCUGCAUGCUCCCUGAUCAGCAAGUCCUGGCUGCAUAUGGGACUCUGAUCUCAAAAUGGAAGUCCAAUGACUCAGCUUUUCCAAUGGCUUGCCACUUAUCCAAGCAUGAAGUUACAAGCAGAUGUCCCGGCACAAAGAAAGGUCCAGAUGGACUGUCCUGUUUUUAAUAACAAAACACCCACACCCUUCUAAUCAUGCUCAGAGCUCUCCAGGCUCUCUAGAGAAGCUGGACAGAACAGUAGAAUCAUGAGGUCACCUAUGUUCUCCAGCUUUGCAGCUCUGCUCAAGCUUCCCUGCCUCAGCCCGCAAGCAUUCUCUCCGACAGAGAAAAUGAGAAGCUCAGUGUCCCAGUGGUCCUUGAUAGUGGUACUUCUGGACUCUGAUGGCAUGACUCCUAUCAAAGAUGAACUGGACGUUCAUUUAUUAGGACAGUUCUUAAUGGGAAAAGGACAUUCGUUAGGACUGUAAAGCACUGGACAAAACUUCCCACGGUCUCUGCCCUCGAGGAGCUCACAGGUGGUAGGGCUGGAAGAGGAAGAAGAUAAAUGCAACUGGUGGGGCAGUUUGUAGAUGCUGGGCUCUAAGUUAGGAGUGAUGGUAGCUCCUAAUGUCAUUAUCUUAGUUGCAUCUUCCUUGGUCCUGGAGGCAUCUGCCCCGGGCUUGUCUACGCUGCUGGGUUUCUCAGUUUGUUUUUUCCAGGGUGCUGUCUGGGCCCAUCAGGAAGCUCUCCAGACUCCCAAACCUCUGCAUCAGGCCUGUGUGUUUGGAUCUACCGAAAUCACUGAUGGGGAAGGAGGGAAUGCUUCUCUGUCUGGGGCUGAACUUUGCCACAGCCGGGUCUCUCAGAUGAGAGCAGAUGGCUGCUCUUAUUUUAGGUCGUUUCCCCCCUCGCCUGUUACUGUGACAGACAUUUCUAUCAUGAGAGAUUUCUUUUUUGUCCCUGUUUUGGGUGGGUAUUGCCCUAAACAGGUGCCAGGUGCAUAUAUUUGGGUGCUGGGUAAUGAUCCUGGAGAGCAGGUUUGAGUCAUGGCGCACAGCCUAGGGGGCCAGGGGUUGCAGACACACCAGUCAGAUGGCAGAAAGUCCUACAGCAUGAAAAGAGAGAUUAACUUCACCUACUUCUGCAUAUGGCUUAAGCCCAGGGCUUAAUGUGGCUUUUAAAAAUCCCCCCAGCCUCCCAUACAUGUGCCAAAGUUAUCUUCCCAAUACCUGGUUAUGAUCAUUCAUUUACUCAUUUGUAUGUUUAUCUAUUUCUCCAGUUGGGUGCCUGUGCAUAAUGUGAGGUCCUUUCUGUUGCCAUUCCCUGGUUGAAAAUCACUGCCUGGUUGAAAAGCAAUAGCUCCACCUGGCCGGCUGAAGGGUGUUUACAUUUAGCCUGGCAUGUGGGACCUUCAGCAGGUGGGUGAAAUGGUGACUAGUCAUCUCUACUUCUCUAUGUGAAGCCGCCGUCAGAGAGGACCUCUGUCAAGUUGGCAAGUGGAGAGGGGUUGGGCUCCGGGAGUGGGCAGAGUCGGGGGUACAGGUAGGAACUGGGGAGGGGAGAGAGUUGAAAGGGAGGCCCCCUCCUCUGAGUAGUAGCAACUCCUCCGUCAGCACAGCUUUCCUGAGCAUACCUCAAGUAGACAGGAAUGGGGAGGUGGCUAAGUUAUACAGCCAGAGUUGAGGGUGGAGAAGAUAACAUGGGACUCCUUCGGGACCAUCCAAAAAGGGAGUCAAGGAAGGGAGCCAAGUCUAAUGCCACUGAGGACCACAGAUGUCCAGUUGUCCUAAGAUAUCUCAUCCAUCUUUCAGUUGCCUCUUUCUUCUUCCUCUUUGCCUCAUGUUUGCUUCUCCUUGAAGACUAGCAGUGAAACUUUUUUUGUAUGUGUCCUUUUUUUUUUUAGGGCCACAUCUGCGGCAUAUGGAAAUUCCCAGAUUAGGGGUCAAAUCAGAGCUAUAGCCGCCGGCCUACACCACAGCCACAGCCAUGUGGAAUCUGAGCCAAGUCUGCAACCUACACCUCAGCUCAUGGCAACACCAGAUCCUUAACCCACUGAGCAAGGCUAGGGAUCGAACCUGUGUCCUUAUGGAUACCAGUCGGGUUCGUUUCCACUGAGCCACGAUGGGAACACCAACAGUGAAACUCUUAAUAGGUGAAGGACCGAUGUGUGUGUUUCAAGUAUAGCAAGAAAAGAGGACUGGGGGCAGGGGCCAUCCAGGAUAAGGAUUAGGGAAAGGAGCAGAGGGGUGACAGCAGCUUUGAAGGAAAAAAAACAGCAAGUGGGAGUCCUAGCACCUUUAGGAAGAAAGAGAAAGGGGCACAGACAACGCCUGGGCUGGAGAGAUAGUGUGGGUGGUGGCUGCUGUGAAGGCAAAAUGACAGCAGGCUAGAGCUGUUGCUGAAAUGUGUGGGAAGGGAAAGAGGCCCACACCGGUCAGGCUGCACAAGUUCUGACCCAACCUGUAACUUUAAGCUCUCUGUGUGCCAGGUGACAAGCAGAAAGGGCUGUAGGCACUCCACCUCGUCAGGGUCCUCAGGGCCUGGGACCUAUACCAGGAAUUGGUUCCCUAACAGCCAGUUUCAGCCACAGCAUGUUGGGAAAAUGCAAAGAUAGAGCAGGUGAUGGCAGCUGUGAAGAAAAGAGGAACGCAGACUGGAGGCCUCCAGUCUAGCAGCAUGAAGAGAAGACUGUGUAGGCUGUGGUCCCGAGGCCCGGGCCCUGUCCUCGGACCCUUAGGAUGGACCCAUCCAGCGCAGAUGGCCCUCUGUUAGGGGUGCAGGAAGGCCCACCUAGGGGCCUCCCACUGGCAUGCACCCAGACCAGCCUCCUCAUUCAGCCACUGGCCCGGCUUAUGCUAACGCCUGGUUCACUCACUCCUGGGCCCCUAACGUUUACUGCAGGCCUUUGUAAUUUGGACCUGCUCCUCCUGAUCACCAGGCUCCCCUCAGAUACCCACAGGGUGUCAUGCAGCUGCAGCCAGGGAUAAGCAAGCUGGCACAGAGGUGGGCCCGAGGGCAGCAGGGCUCAUUACUUCCACUUUGGGCAGAUUAGGCUGCUAAGACUUCUCCAAAAAGCUGCAAAGCUUCCCCACUGCAUUACCCAGUGGCUGUCACGUUAUCCUUGCCUGUGCUGCCAGAAUGCACGGCCCGAGCUCCUUGGUUCUUAACCCAGGCUGCCCUGAGUUAUUGUCUGUGUUGGGAACUCCCUGAGGGCCAAGUCCGUCUCACACCUCUCUGCAUCCUUUUUACUUUGAACCACAGUGACUUAUUUAUAAAUACAUUUUUCUUUCCUAUUUUGAAUUCCCUGAAGGUAAGGACUGUCUGACGCCUCUCUGUCCUCUGCACCUCGCAUGGGGCCUGGCAUAGAAUAGACAGCAGUAAAGGUGUGCUGAAUGAACAAAGGGGUCAAAGACCCUUGGCCUUCUGGAGCUGACUGAAAGGGCAGGCGAGUCCCCCCAUGGGAGGAGGGGUUGUGUCCCUCUGUGGCUGGCACGGCACUCUCAGCCUAUUGAAUGCUGGGUCCAAAUGAGUCUCCUCUGUGGGGACCUACAUCCAGGCCAGUCACACAGCACUUGCCGCAAGUGAGCUGCUCUCAGGCUUCAGCUUGCGUCCUGCCUGGCUGUCCCAGGAUCACAGCCCAAGCCUAAAGCCAAGCUUUGACUUGGGGCUUCUCACUGCACUGGAAUCCCCCUCUGUGGCGGAGUGGAUUCUCUGGGACUCAGGGAGAUACCAGGGCUCAGUGCGUUUGGGUGUGCUUUGGCUUUGUGAUGCCAAGUGCCAGAAAUGCUCUCUGUACUAUAAGAACCACCAUGACUCUUGGAAACAAGGAAGAUGAAUAAAUAGCUUAAUUCUGAUGGCUACUGUUUUGUUGUCAUUGAGGAAACAGUGAGACAUUUAUCACCCCGAUACUUAUAUUUAGUUUGCAGCCAACUACUUUCAAAAAAUGAAUUUGAGGCACUUUCUUGCUUUUCAUUAAGAACUUUAACUUUCCGAAAACCUGAUUAAUAAUAAUCCUUUGCAUUUUCACACACUGUCAUUUGAACAUAGUUUCCUUCUGAGAGAAGCAGGGCAGAGAUUAGCGUGACUGGUGUGGCUGCAUAUUACAUACUAGCCAUUAAGUGGAGGACUUAGGAUGCACAGAAUCACCCCUGGCUGACACCAGCCCCAUGCUUGUCACUGCGUGUCUUUCUAUUUUGAAAAUAACCUUGAGGUUAUUCUUAAAUGGAAGCUGGAGAGGCCACACAUAUUUUCCUCAGUUAAGUGGGGUGAUAGCUUUAACUUAACUCAUGGUUUUUGCUUGACGGUUUGUCCCAUUGAAAUGCUUAAUGCACUGCUGAACUUUGUCAAAUGUUUCAGCAAAAAUCCUCAAGUUCUACUUAAGUAGGUCAAUCUGCUUUCUUAAAUUGACUAUUGAAAAACUUUCAAAUGAGCCUUUCGUCAUAACACUAAGUAAUAUAAAGAUGAAAGAAUAAAUGAAGUUCUGAGAACUUCUCAUUUUCCUCUUAAAAAUCAUUUUACAGGGAGUUCCCAUCAUGGUGCAGCGGAAACGAAUCCAACUAGGAAUGAUGAGGGUGUGUGUUCGAUCCCUGGCCUUGCUCAGUGGGUUAAGGAUCUGGCAUUGCCAUGAGCUGUGGUGUAGGCUGGCUGUUGUAGCUCCUAUUGACCCCUAGCCUAGGAACCUCCAUAUGCCUCGAGUGCAGCCCCCCCCAAAACUGUUUUACAAUAAUUAUUUAUAUUAUCACUUUUUAAAAUCCAAUGAUCUAUUUUAUUCUUGUACGUUCUGUUGGAUUACUAACAGGGACCUGUGGGUUUGAGAGGAAUGUGCACUACUAUAUAAAGUCUAGUGCUUAGUUUAUUAAACUCAUUCAAUAAAACAUUGAAAACCUCUUGAAUAUUUAAACAGUGACAAAUUUGAUUAAACUGCUUAAAUAUAAUUACCAGUUACAAAUUUAGUAUAGCUGAUCCUUUUGAAUAUUUCAAAUAGUAGGUAAGAUUUGCAUAAAUCUAAUGAGUAUAAAACAUAUCCUUAUACCAAAAAUGGAGUACAAGAGAGCGGAUGCCAUGGAUUUAACUUUGGGAGUUCUUUCAGACCUCUUUAGAGUUUUAGUAACUUGAAGAUUUUGUCCCCUUAUCUUCCUAGGGAUUUAGUAAUAGCAUAUUCGAAGGAAGAAGAAUAGCAUUUCAGGUAAACUCUCUGUUUUGCUGGGAGCAUUAAACUGGGAAGUUUGGAGGCCUGGGAACACAACGAGCCAUCUCGCCCUCAGCCAGGGGACAAUGCCUGUAUGGGGCAGAAGCCUGAAAGAACUGAGCCAGGCAACGCCAGUCCUGAUGUCAUCCACGAGGAUCCUCCCUGUUACGGGAAUCUGACCCCCGACCUUUGAUUUUUAUUUAUUUCUUAAGCGAAUAUGGACUGGAUGUAUAUAGCUUGCAACCAGGGGAAUAUAAACUUUGAUUACUUGGUACCACAACCUGUCAGUCACUCCCUGGAGCAGAACUACAAGCUGUGAGAAAUGUCAGUUGAGUCUACUAAAGUUUGACAGUGUUACCUGAAGGGUAUAUUACCAGGAGAGACACUGGGAUGGAAUGGAGAAAGGACCAGACUAGGAAGUCAGGAGUCCAGGGUCUUGGCCUGACCCGAUGGGCCCUCUCUGGGAACCCAUUUAUUCACCUAUGGCAGGAGCAUGCUCCGAGCCCUGAGAUUCACCUCGGAGUCGUGUGGAUCUGAUGAGCUAGCGAAUCCUCAAAAGAAUUUAGGAAAUGGAGUCAUUUACUGUAGAUAGGGGAUAAAUGACUUCACUCCUUCACCUUCACUGGCAACACUGGACAGUUAGGCUGAAAACGAGGGCGAUGGAUGGAGGGGAGGAGAGGAAGGCGUGGCCCACUGAGGAGGGCUCGCCAAAGCUGGACAGCCAUCUGGCCUUGCCUCCGUCGCAUCCUCAGCAAACCACAGGCUUUAUGAUUUUGCCCAAUUUUCUGACUUCGCCCCAGACCUUUUGCUCCCUUACUAAGGAAUGGCCCAGCCUGUAUAUAGAAAAGGAAAUCUCAGCUUCAAGUAGGAAGGGACUUGGUCUGAGUCAUUGCUAUUCCCCAUUCCCACUGCAGGGCCAGGUUAUAGCACAACGUGGGAAAGACGAUGCGAGGGGCGUAACACUGAUAAAGUGCCUGCUGUCUGCUUAGAGUUAUACAUAGAUUCUCCCAUUUCAUUCAACAAUCACAUGAUAUAUUGCAAGGUCACACACCUGUAAGUAAUGGAGUCUAUAAUUUUGCCAUAUGGCAAAUAAGGAGCAGAACUCUUGGUGAUGCUUACCCUGCAGGUUGCUACAAAGCAGAGGCAGUGCCUCUUAGGUCCUUGGAACAGGGUGGGCAUUCUGCAGCUAGUAAGAGGCUGCUGCUUCUGCUGAUCCCUGUGAUAGUAAGUUCUCUAGAGUGGCCUCUCAGACCGAAGGUCUUCCCCUUCUGUUUCAUCCAAGAGAAAGGCAUUAAUUUCUCCCCUUGGGAGCCUAGAUCCAGCUGGAAAUUACUUUCCAAUACCCUCAACCUUCAGUGCAGCUGCCUUCCAAGUCCCAGAGUCAUCCUAAACAUAGAUUUUGUUGUCAUCAACUAGGAAUAGAAACACAAAUGAGAGCAUAAGCUCCUUUGAGGGGUAAACAUAGAACUUUGGUAGCAGGUGAAGCUGACCUAGGGCAGAGUGAGGUCAGGAGCCUGUGCGCACUGGGUGGGUCUCCGACUGAGCCGCAAGUUGGAGAUAGUGAGGCUGCCUCUGCAUUUCCCCACUGUGGGCCAGUCCCUGGGGCUGCACCCUGUGCCAGGCCUGAGGCCAUCAUGCAAGGUGGGUGGUCCUUCAGCACUGUCUCUAAUCCUCGCAACAACCAGGAUGGCAAGACAUUGUCUCUGCCCUACAGACGAGGAAACUGAGCCUUGGAAAGGAUAAACGACUUGGCAGUUAACUGUAAUUUCUUCAUCUGUAAAAACUAGGAUACUAAGGGAGUUUUCGUUGUGACUCCACAGGUUAUGAACCCAACUAGUAUCCAUGAGGAUGUGGGUUCAAUCCCUGGCCUCGCUCAGUGGGUUAAGGAUCCAGUGUUGUCCUGAGGUGUGAUGUAGGUCACAGAUGCAGCUCAGAUCUGGCAUUGCUGUGGCUGUGGUGUAGGCUGGCAGCUGCAGCUCUGGUUUGAUCCCUACCCUGGGAACUUCCAUAUGCCACAGAUGCGGCCCUAAAUAAAGAAAAGAAAACAACAAAAACAAAAAGAACUAGGAUACUAAAAGUACCCCAAAGCGAUGUUGAAAGUUCUGUGAGAUAAGGUAUUUAAACUUACAAGUUACCAAGUGCCUGGCACGCAGCAGAUACUCAGAAAAUGGAAGCCGCGGUAAUUAUGGUCUUGCCCUGCAGUAAUUAGGUUAGCCCAUCACGUGCCCACGGAAGUGCUUCUAAGCUUGUGUGUGCCUAUGCAUCACCUGAAGAGUUUUUUUUUUAGUUGUCUCCUGCCCUCUGCCUACUCCAGAAUCUAGCUCAGCAGGUUUGGGGUGGGGCCUGAGAAUUUGCAUUUCUACCAAGUCCCCAAGCAAUGCUGAUGCGGCAGAUGCAUGACCUGCUCUUCACUGCUCCCCUCACCUGCCACCUCCACACCCUCACCAGCCCUGUGGGGUGGGAGGAACAGAGAUGGCUAGUACUGCUGUCCAUGUGGUCCCCUUCAGUCUGACCCUGGGUCUCGUCUGAAUUGGCAUGUUCUGCCCUUAGCAGUCACACUGUGGCCACAAGGCAACGGUCCGCCUUACUGUCUCCUGACACCCCUUGCUUUGACUCCUUCUCCUCAGGGGCCUCAGACUUAGAUUUCUUUCAGGUCAAGCCAUUGCAAAAUGGUUAGAAAGCUGCAGCACCUGUCCUACGACUUUGUGUGCUUGACAUGAAAGCUCAGGUACCUGUUGCUGAAGUUGAAUGAUGGAUCUAGGCCAUGGAGUUUGCAUAAGGUUAAGUCCUAUGGAUAGGUAGGAGCUCUGAGGGGGAGGCGCUAUGUCCACUAGUGGCUCCAUCGGAGACCUGCCCAGUGCCCACUUGUUCACCAUACUAUUCCAUCUCCUAGCAUAGUAGGUGCUCAAUAAAUACGUUUUUAAAAAAA